Long non-coding RNA from Rhododendron vialii, 1610 nucleotides. RefSeq lists it as uncharacterized. The transcript has 3 exons. The record is from RefSeq and is a predicted model, not a curated record. Lineage: Eukaryota; Viridiplantae; Streptophyta; Magnoliopsida; Ericales; Ericaceae.
AUUGCUUGUUUACUCCCUGUGAGAAUUGCUUUCUAGAAAAAUUUAAUGGAAAGUCUGUCUCUCAUAUAACUUUCUACAACAGAAAAUUUGACUAGCACCAUAUUUCUUCCAGAUUAUAUAGAGGUGCAGUGCUUUAUUGUAUAUGUUGGCAUGUUUUGCUUCUAAUUUGACUCAAAUUUGAAUUGGUUUUUUUGCGUGUAAACUAAGUUAUUUUGGAGCCUUCCAAGUGUUUGAUAAAAUGUGUAAAAGAACAAUUAUGUUUCAUCGGGUAGGCCUUGUAUAAACUAUGACAGUUUUUUGGGGAAAAAAUAAGUAUCAAUACGUGUUUCCUCUUGCAUAUAAGUGAUCAGCUCUGGUUUUGUUUUGUAGGUUUAUGCUGGUCAUGAAUCCAAGGAAUAACCUUUGACCAAAACUACUAUGGAAUUUGCUUUGUUGCUUUGUGCAUCUAUCUUCGCUUGGUUUCUUAUACAAUUGUUCAAUAUAGGAGAUUGUUUAGCAUAAUUAAUCACAGAAGCGGCAGGGGUUCAUUGUGGAUCAGUGGAAGGGGUUGCCUUUGGUUUUGAUUUAUUGGUUUCUAGAGUUAGUUAUUUUAAGCUGCUUUUGCUGCUGUAUCGCAGGGUGUGAAGACGUCUUCAAAUUUCGGAGGUUCUUCGAAGUAGGUUUGUGGUGUUGCUGCUGAGUCCAAUAAGUCAGCUUUUUGAGUCCAACGAGUCUAUUCGGCUAUAGCUAUGGCUGGCUGGCCUACUAUACACUGCUACAGGUUUCUCUAUGUGGCAACAGGGAUGAUGGAGUCGUGGCAUCUUAACUGCUAAAUCAUUUUACGUGUAAGUUGUUUUUUGUGUUCUUUUUGGUUGUUGCUUUAGCUUUUUAUUUCUUGUUUCGUUUCUUUUCUAUUUUCCCUAGUUUUGGGCCAUCUUAGUUGAAUAGUCUGUCACUACCGUGGAACCAACUUCAUAUAAAGGUUCUGUUAUUUUUUGUCCUCGACAAUUGUUCCAGUUAUCAUGAUAAUUGCAGUUGUUUCAGUAGGCAUUUUAGCUCAUUAAGUGCGGGUUGAGCUGAUAAACUCUUGUUCUAAAUUAUAUGGGACAGGGUCUUGCGUGUAAGUUAGCUGUCAAUAUAUGAAUGACUGUCAAUAACUAUUUCCGUUCGAAAAGUUUUGAUACAUGAAUGACUCUCAAUAUCUACUUCGGUUCGAAAAGUUAAUUUCUACUUGUGACUUGUUAUUUGUGGGUAUGUCACUUAAAUGAGCAACAUAACACGUUAAUUCAUAUGACUUUCUUAUACUGAGUUUUUGAUGUUUCGUGUCUUGUGUCCUAAUUAGGGCUCUGCCAUUUGUUUGAGUGGCAUUUCCUGAGACCAAGGCAAAUUUGUAUAGUCAGAGAAAGUGGGGGGAAGCGACUCAGUAACUACUGAGAAUUUCCUGCUUGGAUUUUUUCAACCUUUGGCAGAGGCUGUACACAAUGAGCAAUGCAAAUUUUUGGGUUGAAGGAAGCUGGAGUAUAUAUAUAGGGUCAUUUAUUUGUAUUUUGUACAACCUUUUAGCAAUCUUUUUCUUUUGUACUUUGUAGUCUUUUUUGAAGGCUUUAAUGAAUCGAUUCGGUACUGGGUAU